ACUAGGAGAAAAUAGCCAACAACAUUAUCCUAUCUCUAUUAUUCCCCGUGAAAUAAAUGCUCGAGAUAUUUUGGUUACUACCACUUGCUACAUUAUUCUAGGAGGGUGAGUGCUCUGAAAAAAAGAGAAAGUGAAUACGAGGAAAUAAAAAGGGGCAAGUGCCUGAAACCUCGAAAAAGAAGAAGAGAGAAAAAGUGAGACGAGAGGUAAAAAUGGACAAGUGUCCGACAGUAGAAUUAGGGGUACAAGAUACCCACCUGAGAGAAAAGAAAAAUAAAAUAUAGAGCAUCUCAUUCCCCUCAAAAGCCUCAAGUGCAAGGAAGGUAUGUGCCCCCUCAAAAGUGCAAAACUAGAAUUAGACUUUCACCAUUAUUUUCACCAUUAUCACCAUUCAUUCGCCACACAUGCACAUCUUGAUUUGAUUUAUUGAGUUGUUCUUCUGGAUCCAUGGUUUGACUAUGGAAUAAAUGUCUUGUAAGUAUGUAUUGGCUAUCUCCCACUUAUGAGCUCCAGAUAUCAAAACCUUAUUAGAGUAGGGUGAGAGAGAAGGCAAUGCCACUAUGCCUCAUACCAAAAAUACCACAUACUUUGAGAGAAGGCAUACACCAUUACUGCCUUGGUAAGGAUCUAGAAAUACCACAA
This 642-nucleotide long non-coding RNA is filed under the name Sorghum bicolor (sorghum). RNAcentral describes it as "long non-coding RNA (SBIC_LNC014527)". The record is from RNAcentral. Lineage: Eukaryota; Viridiplantae; Streptophyta; Magnoliopsida; Poales; Poaceae.